This 222-nucleotide ribosomal RNA is filed under the name uncultured bacterium. Its description in RNAcentral is "partial 16S ribosomal RNA". It matches the Rfam family "Bacterial small subunit ribosomal RNA", at positions 28 to 244 of the family's 1533-position model. The record is from RNAcentral.
GAUGAACGCUAGCGACAGGCCUAACACAUGCAAGUCGAGGGGCAGCAUAGAGUAGCAAUACUUAGAUGGCGACCGGCGCACGGGUGAGUAACGCGUAUGCAACCUACCUACUACAGGGGGAUAGCCCGUUGAAAGACGGAUUAAUACCGCAUAAAACAGGGACACCGCAUGGUGAUAUUUGUUAAAGAUUAAUUGGUAGUAGAUGGGCAUGCGUUCCAUUAG